AGGAUGCCUAGUUAUAUUCAAAUUUCAGAAAACAACAGACACAUUUUAGUAUAAGUAUAGCCUAUGUAAUGUUUGGGAUAUAUUUAUGCUAAAAAUACUUUUGUUUUUCUGAAAUUCAAAUUUAACUGGAUGCCU
This 135-nucleotide microRNA precursor is filed under the name Ovis aries (sheep). Its description in RNAcentral is "miRNA (ENSOARG00000021409.1)". Lineage: Eukaryota; Metazoa; Chordata; Mammalia; Artiodactyla; Bovidae. The record is from RNAcentral.